RNAcentral lists this ribosomal RNA (445 nucleotides) under uncultured bacterium. RNAcentral describes it as "bacterial SSU rRNA". It matches the Rfam family "Bacterial small subunit ribosomal RNA", at positions 789 to 1233 of the family's 1533-position model. The record is from RNAcentral.
GGUAGUCCACGCCUAAACGAUGCGAACUGGAUGUUGGGUGCAAUUUGGCACACAGUAUCGAAGCUAACGCGUUAAGUUCGCCGCCUGGGGAGUACGGUCGCAAGACUGAAACUCAAAGGAAUUGACGGGGGCCCGCACAAGCGGUGGAGUAUGUGGUUUAAUUCGAUGCAACGCGAAGAACCUUACCUGGCCUUGACAUGUCGAGAACUUUCCAGAGAUGGAUUGGUGCCUUCGGGAACUCGAACACAGGUGCUGCAUGGCUGUCGUCAGCUCGUGUCGUGAGAUGUUGGGUUAAGUCCCGCAACGAGCGCAACCCUUGUCCUUAGUUGCCAGCACGUAAUGGUGGGAACUCUAAGGAGACCGCCGGUGACAAACCGGAGGAAGGUGGGGAUAACGUCAAGUCAUCAUGGCCCUUACGGCCAGGGCUACACACGUACUACAAUGG